Molecule: ribosomal RNA, 440 nt
Filed under: uncultured bacterium
Lineage: Bacteria
Description: partial 16S ribosomal RNA
Rfam family: Bacterial small subunit ribosomal RNA
Source: RNAcentral
CCUACGGGAGGCAGCAGUGAGGGAUAUUGGUCAAUGGGGGAAACCCUGAACCAGCAACGCCGCGUGCGGGAAGACGGUUUUAGGGUUGUAAAACUCUGUCCUCUGUGGAGAUGAUGCCGGUAGCAGAGGAGGCCGCUACGGAUGACUACGUGCCAGCAGCCGCGGUCCUACGUAGGGAGCGAGCGUUGUCCGGAUUUACUGGGUGUAAAGGGUGCGUAGGCGGCUUGGCAAGUCAGUCGGGAAAUCCAUGGGGUGAACCCAUGAACUGCAAUUGAAAAUGUCGCGCUUGAGUGAAGUAGAGGUAGGCGGAAUUCGCGGUGUAGCGGUGAAAUGCGUAGAGAUCGGGAGGAACACCAGUGGCGAAGGCGGCCUACUGGGCUUUAACUGACGCUGAGGCACGAAAGCGUGGGUAGCAAACAGGAUUAGAUACCCUUGUAGUC